This 1290-nucleotide long non-coding RNA is filed under the name Apteryx haastii (Great spotted kiwi). RNAcentral describes it as "lncRNA (ENSAHAG00000008191.1)". The record is from RNAcentral. Lineage: Eukaryota; Metazoa; Chordata; Aves; Apterygiformes; Apterygidae.
AUGCGGGGCCCAGGCGUCCGGGCCCCCCCUCCGCCCCGCCGCGAGCGCCAGCCCCGCAGCUCCAUCCCUGUGCCCGCCUGGCUGCCCCGACCCCCUUCCCUAGCUGAGCCCCUCGGCUCAUCCUGGGGCGGGGGGGGGGUGGUCCUGGCGCUGCCUCCCUGCGGAUCGGCUCGUUCCCGGGACUCUGUGCCAGCGAGGCCCCCGGAGGCCGCAGCAGAGGGCUGUGCCGCCUUCCUGGCGCCGGUGCCAAGGAGCCCUGGCCACACGCUGCCCUUCGCGGCGGGGAGCCCUCGGCGCUCCGAUCCCUCCCGGCUCUCUGUCUCCCCCCCGAGCCGCUCUCCGUCUGCCGGGCGCCGAUCCGGGGGGAUCCCGCGGCUCUUUGCAGAGGGCAAAAUCCCCCUCAAGUCCGGACCGGUGCAGCUCCGCUCCUGGGUGCCGGGGCUGAGCAUCGCGGGGCUGCUUCGGCUGUGUGCCGUGCCGUACCGCGCUGUGCCGUAUCGUGCUGUGCCGCGCUGUGCCAUGCCAUACCGUCCCAUGCCGUGCCGUGCCGCGCCACGUCCCCACAGCCAGUUCCCCCGUGCAAACGGACCAGCGGCUCCCAGGCAGCACCAGGACCCCCCUGUCCUGCGGCCGGGGCGAGAGGCCGGCAAUGCCCGUCACCCCGCAGGCUCCCACCGGCCAGGACCUCCCCGCUCGGUGCCGGCUCCUCGGCAAUUUCCCCUGCUCUGCGGCAGCGCGGAGGUGGAAGGAGGGAGGCGGAAGUGGCCAGGGUCGGGGCCGUUCCUCGUCCCUUUACGCCUCGUCCCAUUGCUCCUCGUCCCUUUGCUCCUCGUCCCCUGCGGCCCCGUCCCAUUGCACCUCGUCCAUUUUCACCUCGUCCCCCGCGGCCCCGCGGCGCUGACGCAGCAGCAUUCGCAGGACGCGGCCUUCGCACACCCCAGGCUGGCGCCGCGGCUCCGGAGCCGCGCGAGCGCCCAGAGUCAAGGCCCGGGGAAGGCCGAGGGGACGGAGGAGCGCACGCGGCCAGAUAAGCAGUUCCUGCCGGCAGCGGGAGCAAGGCCGAGGGGCCGGAUCUGGGAAGCGCCGUGCUCCGCACACGGCUGGCGCACACCACCACGCACCUUCUCCUCGAGCACGGCUCGUGGCGGGUGCCGGAGGGCCGAGGAGGCUGGGGGAGCUGAGCCCUCGGCAGCUCGGUGCAGGUGUGCCCCGGCCCCAGGGCGCGCGGCGGCAGCGGCGGCGAGGAACCCAGCGGCUCUGGCGCGGUUCCCACAAAGGCAGAACAGCUGA